UAGAGGAAGUAAAAGUCGUAACAAGGUUUCCGUAGGUGAACCUGCGGAAGGAUCAUUAUUGAAUAAACUUGAUAAGGUUGUUAGCUGGCAGGAUUUAUCUUGCAUGUGCACGCCUUGUCAUAUUUAUAUUUCCACCUGUGCACUAUCUGUAGGCAGAAAAAAAGACCUAAAAUUUUGUUGGGAAAAGCUUUUUGUUUUUCAAGAUCUUUUGCACUCGCGAGGGUUUUUGGAAUUUGGGAGCAAUUUCACUUCAUUUUUCUGUUUUUCCACUGUCUAUGCUUUUAUAUACCCCUUAAAAAUGUAAUAGAAUGUCAUUAUUGGGCCUUUGUGCCUAUAACAAAAACUAUACAACUUUCAGCAACGGAUCUCUUGGCUCUCGCAUCGAUGAAGAACGCAGCGAAAUGCGAUAAGUAAUGUGAAUUGCAGAAUUCAGUGAAUCAUCGAAUCUUUGAACGCACCUUGCGCUCCUUGGUAUUCCGAGGAGCAUGCCUGUUUGAGUGUCAUUAAAUUCUCAAUCCUUAGCAGUUUUUACAAUUGUUAAGAAUUGGAUUUGGGGGGCUUUUUUGUUGGCGCAAGUCAACUCCCCUGAAAUGCAUUAGCUGGUUGCCUUGACUUUGUCUAUUGGUGUGAUAAUUAUCAACGCCAUUGGAUGGUCAUUAACGCACKGCUUCUAACCGUCCAUUCAUUUGGACAACAAUCUUCAUUGACAACUUGACCUCAAAUCAGGUAGGACUACCCGCUGAACUUAAGCAUAUCAAUA
RNAcentral lists this ribosomal RNA (760 nucleotides) under Phaeocollybia sp. 3 LN-2017. RNAcentral's name for it is "eukaryotic LSU rRNA". The stretch from base 350 to 503 matches the Rfam family "5.8S ribosomal RNA". The record is from RNAcentral. Lineage: Eukaryota; Fungi; Basidiomycota; Agaricomycetes; Agaricales; Phaeocollybiaceae.